CGUUCUGGAUUGUUCUGUACUCUGCCGCUUCUCUGCCUCAUCUGGAGAAAUCUGAAAUUACAAAUCUUCUGCCGGUGGCUUCUUCGUGAGCAGAGUCAUGAACUGGUUGUAGGAGAAGAACUUCAAUUGCAGAUCAACUGUUUGACGAAGGUGCUGAGUAGACUUCUUUCUUUGAUACCUUAAGUUGCUGAUCAAGGCAGCACUUCGCGUGAUGAUACUUCUACAGCUGUACAAGACAAUGGAAAAAAUAUAGCUAGCUCGCUCUCCAUUUUUGAACCAGAUACGCUAUAUGCUCAACAUCGGCUACACCUGCGGGACAACAUAACCCAAACUCAACAACUACAACUCGCAAAGGCAUGUCAAUUGCUUUACCCAUUUGUAUAAAAAUCUAUCUUCUAUGAAAUCUUUCUUUAUAUUAAUCAAAAUCAUAUUUACAGUAAGUUCGCCGUUAAUGUCCCCUUAACAGCAUGAGCCAAGGACAAUUGCUGGCAAAAAUAACUCACUUUAAACAUGCAACCAUACUGAUUAAUUGACUCUUCCUCAAGGUUAUUAUAUUUGCAUAGGUAAUAAUUUAAGAGGUAUACAUUGUUUUGAUAUUAAACAAAUUCCCAAUGUCACAAGCAUUUUUUUUAAAAAUCCCUCCUUGUGAAUAUUGUGGAGCAAAACGAUUCCAAUACGAAUCGCCAAGAUUUUGUUGCAGUAAUGGCACGAUUAAAUUGACAUUUCCGCACCUACAUUAGAAUGUAUAAUAACAUGUUCACAUUUACUUAUCUUGGAGUAAAAUAUGUCAGAGCUAAAAAAACAUAUAGCAUGGUAUUUAUACCUUUAGAGUUCAAGGACCAAUGUACCAUUGUAAUGACCCUCCAGGUCAUUUUCUUCAUUCUCUAAUCUUUUUAGCAUUUAUAGCUUUUUUGCAGCGACCCCGAGUCAUUUAUGACUUGCUAGCACUGACAGCUCAGUCGUCUGGUCGUUUGUUUGGAUUAUUAUGUCCGUUUCCUUGUUCUGGAGCCUUUAUAAGUUGAAAAUUUUACUUCGGUCAUAACUUUAGGUAUAUGACCUCAGAACGAAAUUUUGAUGGUUCCAUCAGCUUCGAAAUAUCCAAAUUAGGCUAGUAACAUGAUCAACAAGAGUAUCAAGUCAAUCGAUACGAGUUUGGGACCAUUUGACACUUCUGCCUUGGAAAUUUGGCCUAUGGUUGACUUUGGUCAACGUUCUUAGAAAAUACGCUCGGAUUAAAAUUUUGUCAGUGUGGUUAGCUCUGAAAUGUCGAGUUUGAUUUAGAAUGAUCCUUCGUUCGCUUCCUAAGGCUUCCGGUCUAAUCCCAAGGCCCGUAGUGGAAUUAGGCUCAAAUUGACACUUAGGUGUGGGAUCCACUUUUAGUUGUAACAACUUCGUAUGGAAAUUUUGACUCUGUCAUUGAGUCCGAAAGGUCAAAUUUGAUGGGGUAACAUAUUUCGUUUACGCGCAUGUGAUUCAGAAUGAAUUUCGAGCACCCCAUCGGAGUAUUUGAACUUGGCAAAAAUCAGCAUUUUAGCUGAUAUCUAGUGCAGGAGAAAUUGUUCUCUGUGAUCGCCGGCCCUUGGCCGAGUUCGCGGAGGCCCAGUAUUUUGUUCUUCGUAUUUGCGGGGCCUGGGCCACAUUCGUGGAGUUUUGUCUCCCUUGCCUCCAUGUUCGUGGACCUCUAGCCAUGUUCACGAUGGUCAAUUUUGCUGACCUCCGUGUUCGUAGGCCACUUAAGUCAUGUUCGCGAAGGCCAAUUGUGGCUGGUCACUGUCAUUAAAAAGGCCUUGCGUUUUCAACUUUGUAUCACUGUUUAAGGGGCGAUUUUGCACUCAUUCCUAGCUCAAAUUAGGCAAUUUAAGAGUCUAACUUCAAGAUAUUUUUGCGAGGAAUCAAUUGGUAAGCUUGGAAUCUUGAGGGGAUGUUUCGUGUGAGCAAUUAGUGGAGAUAAGUUGUGGGGUUUUUUACAAGGAACAUUGUGGUGUGAUUAGUUUCGUUUUUUGAAGCAUCGUUUGAGCGUGGCGAAAAUUGGAGGUGUCUUGGAGGCUGUGAACUUCAAAUUGGAGGAUUUAGAGUGCGCGUGUUCGGCUUUGAGAUCAUAGUACGGGUUAUCGCAAUUAAUUUGGACUAGUGCAGAGCAGCUUCUGAUUAAGAGAUUUGGUGAGCUACUAGCGUUCGGAGUUACCGAUUUCCAUCCAUGCCAGAUUAGGACUAGUCUUUACUUGCUUUCAAAGACUAUUUGUACUCAUAUUGUAUUUAUAAAAGCCUUUCAUUUGUAUUUGAUUUAGACGCUAGAUUAUUGAUUGA
Solanum dulcamara is the source of this 2307-nucleotide long non-coding RNA. RefSeq lists it as uncharacterized. The record is from RefSeq and is a predicted model, not a curated record. NCBI's taxonomy places the organism in Eukaryota, Viridiplantae, Streptophyta, Magnoliopsida, Solanales, Solanaceae. The transcript has 7 exons.